CUACGGGACGCUGCAGUGGGGAAUAUUGCACAAUGGGCGCAAGCCUGAUGCAGCCAUGCCGCGUGUAUGAAGAAGGCCUUCGGGUUGUAAAGUACUUUCAGCGGGGAGGAAGGGAGUAAAGUUAAUGCCUUUGCUCAUUGACGUUACCCGCAGAAGAAGCACCGGCUAACUCCGUGCCAGCAGCCGCGGUAAUACGGAGGGUGCAAGCGUUAAUCGGAAUUACUGGGCGUAAAGCGCACGCAGGCGGUUUGUUAAGUCAGAUGUGAAAUCCCCGGGCUCAACCUGGGAACUGCAUCUGAUACUGGCAAGCUUGAGUCUCGUAGAGGGGGGUAGAAUUCCAGGUGUAGCGGUGAAAUGCGUAGAGAUCUGGAGGAAUACCGGUGGCGAAGGCGGCCCCCUGGACGAAGACUGACGCUCAGGUGCGAAAGCGUGGGGAGCAAACAGGAUUAGAUACCCCAGUAGUC
RNAcentral lists this ribosomal RNA (464 nucleotides) under uncultured bacterium. RNAcentral's name for it is "partial 16S ribosomal RNA". It matches the Rfam family "Bacterial small subunit ribosomal RNA", at positions 339 to 795 of the family's 1533-position model. The record is from RNAcentral.